Molecule: long non-coding RNA, 525 nt
Organism: Glycine soja
Lineage: Eukaryota; Viridiplantae; Streptophyta; Magnoliopsida; Fabales; Fabaceae
Exons: 2
Source: RefSeq, a predicted model, not a curated record
CAGGUUGAAGGAUUGAUGUGUUAACUAGCGGAGGUUGCAGAGAGAGAGAGAGAGAGAGAGAAUGGAGAAGAAGAUGACUUUGGUUCAGACUAUUGCCACUGCUGGCGUCUUCUCUGCGAUUUCAUUCUGGUAUGGGUUCAUGUUUGGUAGAGAGUCAUCGCGCAAAGAACUCUCUCAGCUGAUCGAAGAUCUCCGUCACGGCGGCGAAAACACUCCACCUCCCUCCCAUUCUUGAUUGAGCUAUCUCUUUCUUUCAAAUCGUUACAGUGUAUGUCUCUUCCAAAUUUCCCCCUAACAUUUUUGUAACUAGCGUUGAUUCUCAACUCUUUAGCUUGUUCUAAGUGCACCAAACAACACAGUAUUGCAGCUUCCUUAUAUUAUUACCGUUAUGAAUUAUCUCUAUUAGAGAGAAUCAGGUAAAAGCUCCCUUGCCUUAGUCAUAGUUUGAUACGGUUGUUUGCUUAAUGCUUCAACUACUUUGCUUGCUAAUGUUGGUUUUCAAUUUUCAUGGAAUCACUUAGUGAA